This 527-nucleotide ribosomal RNA is filed under the name fungal endophyte. RNAcentral describes it as "eukaryotic LSU rRNA". The stretch from base 186 to 339 matches the Rfam family "5.8S ribosomal RNA". The record is from RNAcentral. Lineage: Eukaryota; Fungi.
GGAUCAUUAAAGAGUUCUAUAACUCCCAAACCCAUGUGAACAUACCUAACGUUGCCUCGGCAGGUCGCACCUACCUUGUAGCACCCUACCCUGUAGGGCCUACCCGGGAGGUGCGGGUAAGCCUGCCGGCGGCCCACCAAACUCUGUUUGAUAUUGAAUUCUGAACCUAUAACUAAAUAAGUUAAAACUUUCAACAACGGAUCUCUUGGUUCUGGCAUCGAUGAAGAACGCAGCGAAAUGCGAUAAGUAAUGUGAAUUGCAGAAUUCAGUGAAUCAUCGAAUCUUUGAACGCAUAUUGCGCCCAUUAGUAUUCUAGUGGGCAGGACCGUUCGAGCGUCAUUUCAACCCUUAAGCCUUCGUUGCUUAGUGUUGGGAGCCUACGGCAACGUAGCUCCUCAAAGUUAGUGGCGGAGUUGGUUCACACUCUAGACGUAGUAAUUUUUUAUCUCGCCUAUUAGUUGGACUAAUCCCCUGCCGUAAAACCCCCAAUUUAUCAAGGUUGACCUCGAAUCGGUUCAGACAAACUC